UGAAAUUGAUUGUUUCUUUCUUACUGCUAUCUUAAACUGAUAAAAGGUGUUCUUGAUAGCUUGAUCUUGGUGAAAUGAAUCCUAAAUCUAGGCAAUGUUGUAUCUCGAGAAGCUCGUAAAAGUGAGUCCCAGGUUUGAGAAAAUAAUGAUUUUGCAAGACGUUGGUGAAGUGAACCUAGGUCUAGCCGAUUAGAACUUCAAAGUCCUGCGUUUGAAUAUCAACCAAAAUUAAUCUAUGAGUUUUCAACCUGAAAUUCAAACAGCCACGUGUCUCCCAUCCAAGUUCUUUGCAUCUUCUAGGUCACAAGUCCAAAUUAUCCUACACGCCCUUUUCUUUACUUUUACGUGAAAAAUCCCAAACUAAACAUUUAUUUUCUUCAUAUUCUUCACCAUAUUUCCCAAUUUUCUUCCAUUUUUUGACCAGAAGUUACAUCUCAACCGCCCUAAAAUAUUAUAGAUUACCAAAAAACCACGAAAAAAACCCUCUCCAAAACCCAUUCCAAACCCAUUUUUUCUCCCAAAAAAUUUUAUCCAUUUUCUUGAUUCUCAUGGAAGGGUAAGUGUUUUAUGAGGUAAAGAGUAAUUGGGUUGAGUUUUCUUUUAUGGGGGCCUCUACUUUUUUGCAAGAUUGUAAAUUUUUUCUUUAUUUAUUCAAGAACUCUACUUUACUUUCUUAUAAAAUUGUUGUAAUUUAUAUUCUUGUGAACUAAUCAUUCCGAAAGUUCAAGCAAUAAUUUGCCACGCAUGAAAUGUACUAAUUUAGAGAAAUAAAGUUGACAAUUGUUUGUUUUUUUUAUAAUUCUUGAUUCUUUGAUAAAUUUUGUUCAUAGUUUGAGUUGAGAUGGCUAGAUUUACUUUAAAUUUUGUUCAGUGUAAUAAAAUAUAUCCUUUCUCUUGGACGAAUUUAAUUUUCUUGAACCCAAUUUGUCAUUUUAUUCAAGGUAUGCAAUGUGCCAUUUUUUUUGGAAAUUUAAAGGAAACCUCGUUGAAUGGUGAAUUAUUUUCUAUCAUUUUUUUCUAGCGUUUGUGUCUGGCAAUCUUUUGAUUUGGUAAUUCUUGGAAUAAAUAUUCAUGCUAUGCACUUGUUUGUUGAACAAAUGAUGGGUAAAUAAAGCAAUUUCUUUUAUAUGCAUAUUUGUUUUUAUUCUUGUUAGGUAAAAGGUGUGAAUCUUGAACAAAUUAAUUUUGGUGUUCAAGAAAUUUGAUCCCAAAGUUAAUUUGACCAAUAAUCUUUUAAACCUUUCAAUUUUUACUUUCCAUUUUUGGAUCCCCAAGGAUAGAAAACCCUCGUAUACUCAAUUACUCUGGCCUCACAUUUAUUAGUUGAGUAUUUUUUUCACAUAUUUUACUAUCUUGAGUUGGAACAACCUAGAAUUUACUUUGUUACUUGUCACAACAUGAUUCUUUAAAUUUCUUGCUUAAUCUUUUCAUGCUUUCUUAGUUUAUCUAACACUCUUUUCUAGUUUCAAUUCAAGUUAGAAUUAUUUCCACUCCCUUGGUUCGACACUCUCACUUGCCACCACACUAUGGUAAUAAGUGGGUUUUUAUAAAUAAUCUUUUGUCAAGGUGAAUUGGUACGUCUCUAUCCUUUUCCUAAUCAACUAGUGUUCCAUUUUCCAUAUAAUUAGCAUAUAUUGUUACAUGAUUACCAUUUAAAUGGGCUUGCCAAUUACAUAUUACAUACAACAUUCAAGCCUUGCCAGCGAGUAAAUGCCGGUGAAAGUGAAUCCUAGUCUGAGCAAGGGAUAAAAAUGUGUUCUUGAUAGCUAGAUGCUGGGGGAAGGUGAAUUUCAUGUAUAGGCAAUGAGAUGCUGAUAAAAGUGAAUCUCAGAUUUGAGAAAACAAUGAUUUUGCUAGACGCUGGCGAAAUCCCAAGUCUAGGCGAUUAGAUGUUGUGAAGUGCAUCCCAGGUCUAGGAGAUUAGAUGUUGUGAAUGGGAGAAUCCCAAAUUUUGGCAAUGAAUAAUGAACAUCCUGAUGAAUGAAACACGUGGAAUUUCUUUGAUUGUUGUGUUUAUGAUUUAAUGCUAUGAGAAUUUAUGUUCUUAAGAUUAAGAUUGUUGUUAAUGAAAAUGUUGUAUUCCCCCUAAUAAGGUAUUUCUUAAACCCAUCACACACUAAGUCUUUAACUAACCUUUUAGUUUUCUCCUCCCCAAGUUGUCAGGCGUUGAAGAUAAGUAAAGAAUGAAUGUCAGGUGUAGAAGCCAAGUAAAGAAGGGAAAUGUCCGUUAUCAUGUAAACCCAUUUCACAUUUGAGGAGUUGGCAGGCAAUUCUUAUACUCCUAAAUGUUGAGGGCUACAACUCAAUUUUGAGGAGAAGUUGAAUGCUUCAGCACAAUUUUGAAGAGAUGCCAAGGGCAGCAUCACAAUUUUGUCUUGCCGAAGAAGACGAGUGGAAGAAAUGAGCCAAGAAUGAAGAGCCUAAAGUUAUCAAUUUAGUCUUGUCAUAAUUGUAGAAGUGUGAAAUUCAGUUGUACUUAGUGUAAUGAGUUAAGUGAAUAAAGCGAAAAAGUUAAGCAUAUUCAGCUACAUCAUUGUUAUUAUUUGCCAUAUCCUGUAAAAGUUAAAAGUUAUUUUCAAUCAAGUAAUGAGGGCUAGGUGAUGGAGC
Molecule: long non-coding RNA, 2607 nt
Filed under: Cucumis sativus (cucumber)
Lineage: Eukaryota; Viridiplantae; Streptophyta; Magnoliopsida; Cucurbitales; Cucurbitaceae
Description: long non-coding RNA (CSAT_LNC001880)
Source: RNAcentral